This 307-nucleotide long non-coding RNA is filed under the name Brassica napus (rape). RNAcentral describes it as "long non-coding RNA (BNAP_LNC024262)". The record is from RNAcentral. Lineage: Eukaryota; Viridiplantae; Streptophyta; Magnoliopsida; Brassicales; Brassicaceae.
AGGGGUGUCAAUUCGGGCUGGCCCGGCCCGGUCCGGCCCAAACCCGCUAAGCCCGUAAAUAUUUGAGCCCGGCCCGGCCCGGCCCGAAAAUAAUUUGGGCCUAGAAUUCAAAGCCCGGCCCGGCCCUUAUAGGGCUACAGGGCUUUUCGGGCUUUUGUGGGCUUUUCGAAAAAUAAUUUGUCAUUGUCACUUCCAUCGUUUUAAUACAUGUGAAUUUUCAUUAAAAAAAGAGUUUCAUUUUUAAAAAAUAAAAAAAGUAUAAAGUGAGUUUAAAAUUUUCUUGUCUAUCACAAAUUUUUUAUUUUUU